GACGAACGCUGGCGGCGUGCUUAACACAUGCAAGUCGAACGGAAAGGCCUUUUCGGAGGUACUCGAGUGGCGAACGGGUGAGUAACACGUGGGUGAUCUGCCCUGCACUCUGGGAUAAGCCUGGGAAACUGGGUCUAAUACCGGAUAGGACCGCACUUUAGUGUGUGUGGUGGAAAGUUUUUUCGGUGUAGGAUGAGCCCGCGGCCUAUCAGCUUGUUGGUGGGGUAAUGGCCUACCAAGGCGGCGACGGGUAGCCGGACUGAGAGGUUGGUCGGCCACAUUGGGACUGAGAUACGGCCCAGACUCCUACGGGAGGCAGCAGUGGGGAAUAUUGCACAAUGGGCGCAAGCCUGAUGCAGCGACGCCGCGUGGGGGAUGACGGCCUUCGGGUUGUAAACUCCUUUCGCCAGGGACGAAGCGUUUUGUGACGGUACCUGGAGAAGAGGCACCGGCUAACUACGUG
This 463-nucleotide ribosomal RNA is filed under the name uncultured bacterium. Its description in RNAcentral is "partial 16S ribosomal RNA". It matches the Rfam family "Bacterial small subunit ribosomal RNA", at positions 28 to 507 of the family's 1533-position model. The record is from RNAcentral.